UAGGGAAUCUUCGGCAAUGGGGGCAACCCUGACCGAGCAACGCCGCGUGAGUGAAGAAGGUUUUCGGAUCGUAAAGCUCUGUUGUAAGAGAAGAACGUGUGUGAGAGUGGAAAGUUCACACAGUGACGGUAACUUACCAGAAAGGGACGGCUAACUACGUGCCAGCAGCCGCGGUAAUACGUAGGUCCCGAGCGUUGUCCGGAUUUAUUGGGCGUAAAGCGAGCGCAGGCGGUUUAAUAAGUCUGAAGUUAAAGGCAGUGGCUUAACCAUUGUUAGCUUUGGAAACUGUUAAACUUGAGUGCAGAAGGGGAGAGUGGAAUUCCAGGUGUAGCGGUGAAAUGCGUAGAUAUAUGGAGGAACACCGGUGGCGAAAGCGGCUCUCUGGUCUGUAACUGACGCUGAGGCUCGAAAGCGUGGGGAGCAAACAGG
This 429-nucleotide ribosomal RNA is filed under the name bacterium. RNAcentral describes it as "partial 16S ribosomal RNA". It matches the Rfam family "Bacterial small subunit ribosomal RNA", at positions 355 to 776 of the family's 1533-position model. The record is from RNAcentral.